Butyrivibrio fibrisolvens DSM 3071 is the source of this 1364-nucleotide non-coding RNA. Lineage: Bacteria; Bacillati; Bacillota; Clostridia; Lachnospirales; Lachnospiraceae. The record is from Rfam.
GUGCUGUGUGAUGCGGAGCGAAAUAAAGUAGUGAAGUGUCCGGAGGACCUGUCGAGAAAAGCCGCUAUAGUGUGAUAUCUGCCCGUACCGUAAACCGACACAGGUGGAUGAGGAGAGAAUCCUAAGGCCGACGGAAGAAGCAUUGCUAAGGAACUCGGCAAAAUGUACCCGUAACUUCGGGAUAAGGGUAGCCUUCAUGUAUGAGUACAUGAAGGCCGCAGAGAAGAGGCUCAAGCAACUGUUUAGCAAAAACACAGGUCUAUGCGAAACCGAAAGGUGAAGUAUAUGGGCUGACGCCUGCCCGGUGCUGGAAGGUUAAGAGGAGAGGUUAGAGCAAUCGAAGCUUUGAAUUUAAGCCCCAGUAAACGGCGGCCGUAACUAUAACGGUCCUAAGGUAGCGAAAUUCCUUGUCGGGUAAGUUCCGACCCGCACGAAAGGCGUAAUGAUUUGAGUACUGUCUCGGCAAUGCAUCCGGUGAAAUUGAAGUGCCAGUGAAGAUGCUGGCUACCCGCGCCAGGACGGAAAGACCCCAUGGAGCUUUACUCCAGCUUGAUACUGGGAUCCGGUAUUGUAUGUACAGGAUAGGUGGGAGGCUAAGAAGUGAUGACGUCAGUUGUCAUGGAGCCGCUGUUGGGAUACCACCCUUACCGUACUGGAUUUCUAACCAUGGACCGUGAAACCGGUCCGGGGACAAUGUCUGGCGGGGAGUUUGACUGGGGCGGUCGCCUCCGAAAGAGUAUCGGAGGCGCUCAAAGGUUCCUUCAGGAUGGACGGAAACCAUCCGAAGAGUGCAAAGGCAUAAGGGAGCCUGACUGUGACACCGACGGGUGGAACAGGUACGAAAGUAGGACUUAGUGAUCCGGUGGCAGAACGUGGGAUUGCCAUCGCUCAACGGAUAAAAGCUACCCUGGGGAUAACAGGCUUAUCACUCCCAAGAGUUCACAUCGACGGAGUGGUUUGGCACCUCGAUGUCGGCUCAUCACAUCCUGGGGCUGUAGCAGGUCCCAAGGGUUGGGCUGUUCGCCCAUUAAAGUGGUACGCGAGCUGGGUUCAGAACGUCGUGAGACAGUUCGGUCCCUAUCCGGCGCGGGCGUAGGAUAUCUGAGAGGAGCUGUCCUUAGUACGAGAGGACCGGGAUGGACGGACCGCUGGUGUAUCUGCUGCGAAGGCAAUCGCAUAAGGCAGGGUAGCCAAGUCUGGCAGGGAUAAACGCUGAAGGCAUCUAAGCGUGAAGCCCCCCUCAAGAUGAGAUAUCCCCACGCAAGUGGUAAGACCCCUUGGAGAGUACGAGGUUGAUAGGCACAAGGUGUAAGAGUGGUAACAUUCUCAGCUGAUGUGUACUAAUAGGUCGAGGACUUAACCAA